AGCUCCAAGAGCGUAUAUUAAAGUUGUUGCAGUUAAAAAGCUCGUAGUUGGAUUUCUGGUAUAGUGCGCCUGGCCCGCUGCGAUUACGCAUGUGAGUGCCGGUGCGCGCUUGCCAUCCUUCUAGAAAACGUUUCUACCCUUCGCUGGGCCGGACUCGCGAUCUAGAUCUUUUACUUUGAAAAAAUUAGAGUGUUUAAAGCAGGCUUUUGCUAUGAAUACAUUAGCAUGGAAUAAUAAUCUAGGACUUCGGUUCUAUUUUGUUGGUUUCUAGUACUGAAGUAAUGAUUGAUAGGGAUAGUUGGGGGUGCUAGUAUUGGCCGGCCAGAGGUGAAAUUCUUGGAUUCGGUCAAGACUAACUUAUGCGAAAGCAUUCACCAAGGAUGUCUUCUUUAAUCAAGAA
RNAcentral lists this ribosomal RNA (400 nucleotides) under phytoplankton environmental sample. RNAcentral's name for it is "partial small subunit ribosomal RNA". It matches the Rfam family "Eukaryotic small subunit ribosomal RNA", at positions 587 to 983 of the family's 1831-position model. The record is from RNAcentral.